This 611-nucleotide ribosomal RNA is filed under the name uncultured bacterium. Its description in RNAcentral is "bacterial SSU rRNA". The stretch from base 1 to 523 matches the Rfam family "Bacterial small subunit ribosomal RNA", at positions 338 to 873 of the family's 1533-position model. The record is from RNAcentral.
CCUACGGGAGGCAGCAGUGGGGAAGUAUUGCACAAUGGGCGCAAGCCUGAUGCAGCAACGCCGCGUGAGGGACGACGGCCUUCGGGUUGUAAACCUCUUUUAGUAGGGAAGAAGCGAAAGUGACGGUACCUGCAGAAAAAGCACCGGCUAACUACGUGCCAGCAGCCGCGGUAAUACGUAGGGUGCAAGCGUUAUCCGGAAUUAUUGGGCGUAAAGAGCUCGUAGGCGGUUUGUCGCGUCUGCUGUGAAAACUGGAGGCUCAACCUCCAGCCGGCAGUGGGUACGGGCAAACUAGAGUGCGGUAGGGGAGAUUGGAAUUCCUGGUGUAGCGGUGGAAUGCGCAGAUAUCAGGAGGAACACCGAUGGCGAAGGCAGAUCUCUGGGCCGUAACUGACGCUGAGGAGCGAAAGCAUGGGGAGCGAACAGGAUUAGAUACCCUGGUAGUCCAUGCCGUAAACGUUGGGCGCUAGAUGUGGGGACCAUUCCACGGUUUCCGUGUCGCAGCUACGACAUAGCGCCCGCCGUCGGGAGGUACGGCCGCGACGACGAAACGUACGAAAGGUAAGUAGUUACGGCGUGAGACGUGCCGACGGCGACGACGAGGGAGGAGG